Molecule: long non-coding RNA, 2359 nt
Filed under: Brassica napus (rape)
Lineage: Eukaryota; Viridiplantae; Streptophyta; Magnoliopsida; Brassicales; Brassicaceae
Description: long non-coding RNA (BNAP_LNC018466)
Source: RNAcentral
UGGUCUUGCUAGCAUUGAUUAAUCAAUGAUUAUUGAUCUACUUUGUUCUGUCUAUGUCAGGGGUAAUGAAGAUGAGUGUUCGAGCCAUGGUAGUCAAGAAGAUGUGGACUCCCCCCUAAAGGAUAAGAAGGUCGAUCGCCAAUAUACCUUAGAGCGCAAGUCCAAGAGCAUGCCCAGUGACAUCCAGAGAGACAUUUAUAUUUUGGGUGAAAAAUCUAAAGACAACGGUGUUGAAGGUGUUCAAUUCCUAUCUGAUCGUGAAGAUGAUGGUGCUGAAAUGGAUGCCCCCCCUAUUUGGGAACCCCCGGAGCCACUAGACCCAGAAGAUGAACUAGAAGAUGCUGCUGCUGAUGAAUGUUGUGAUGGCUCUAAACGGGCCAGAUCAUCUUCUUUAGGGGAAUCUAAAGAUGGAAGUAGUAACCAGAGAAAGUUCAAUGAAGAAAAUCGAAGAGCAAUGCUUGCGGUGGCAAACUCAAAGUUUAACUUCAUUGUGAGUCAGCUUAUUCAGUCGGCUGGGUUUUCAUUGGAAGAAGGUGAAAGUUGGAGUGCGAUAGUUGCUAGGUUAUGCUGGGAGGCUGCUUCACUAUUAAAGCCAGAUAUUGAUGGCAAACCAGUUGAUCCGGCUGAGUACAUCAAAGUGAAAUGCAUAGCAACUGGUUCUUGCAAUGAAAGGUAUUACAACUUACCCAUUGAUUGCCUAUACGUUGCAUAUGAUUUUUAUUCCAUUUCCCUCUACCGUACUCUCCUAAUGAUUUGUUCAUCUCUGCAGUGAAGUUUUUAAAGGCCUUGUUUUCAAAAAACAUGCUGCUCUUAAACAAAUGCCUACCAAGUAUGAGCAUCCUAGAAUAAUGUUAGUCGAAGGAGUACUGGGCCAGCCAUUAAGUGGUUUUUCUUCUCUCCAGUCAAUGGAUAAGGUGGGGAGCACAGUACCUUGGCGAUCACCAAUUCACCAUUUUGAAAGCUUUCAUUUGGUAAUAUCUGAUUUCUUUUUGUUUGGUUUUUGCCAGCAGGACAAAGAUGUUUAUGUGAAGCCUGUUGUUGAUAUCAUAGCCGCGUUGAAGCCUGACGUCAUGCUGGUGGAAAAAUCUGUUUCGCGUGAUAUCCAAUUGUCUAUUAAUGAACAAAAGGUCACUCUGGUGCUUGACAUGAAGCUCCACCGUCUACAGCGAAUUUCUCGAUGCAUAGGUUCACCAAUCAUUCCAUUGGAAUCUCUGUCUAGUCAGAAGUUAAAGCACUGUGAUUCCUUUCGCAUUGAGAAAAUUGUGGAGGAGCAUAAUGCUGUGGGCGAAGCUGAGAAGAAGCCAACUAAAACGCUGAUGUUCUUAGAAGGUUGUCCUACCCGCCUUGGCUGCACGGUGAGUGCUUGAUUGAUAUUGGAUUAUGAUAAGUUGUUGAUGGUAUCUUUACUUGAGUAACACAUCAAUACAUCACAUAACUGCCGGUAUUAUAGUAGUUUCCACUGGAUAAAACAUCAAAUCUUUCAAAAUUUGAAUUUGUGACAUUGACCUUGGACUUUCUUGCCCUGAUUAUCUGAUUUUGACAUUGUGGUAUGUGACAGAUUUUACUUAAAGGAAGCCACAGUGAAAGGUUGAAAAAGGUCAAAGAAGUAGUACAAGAUUCAUUUAACCUUGCAUAUCAUCUAAUCUUGGAGGCUUCCUUCCUUGCUGAUCGGCAAACAAUGUUCUCAACCAUCUUUCCAAAGGAAGCUACAUCAUGUGUUAUGGAAACAGAAAAAGUUCCACUAUCUCCUUCUCCUGGAAAAUCUUCACUUGAAGCAAUUGAUAUUCCCUUUUCUAAUGGAUUCGAUGAACGAUCUAUUCAGAUAAAUGGGGAAUCAGAUGGUGAGAAAGCUGAAAACUGGGAUUCUGGUGGAGAUCAUGUCUUCUCUCACGAGCCAUAUAAUCCAGUUAUUUUUACUGGGUUUUCCUCUUUAUCCGCCAAGCUAAGUAAAUAUUUUGGCUUAGUUGAAAAUCCGGAAUCAGUUCCAGUUACUAUGGAUACAGAUGCAAAUAGCAGCCAUACCGAAGAUGCUACAGAAAAGGAUGAAAGACCUUUGUUACUUGACCCUGGGCUCCCGGUAAACACGAAUUCAGAUGAUGGAGAGAGGUCGCCAGCUGAGAAUGAUAUUGAGACCACCUUGGAAUCUCAGGAGCCAUGGUAGUCAAGAAGAUGUGGACUCCCCCCUAAAGGAUAAGAAGGUCGAUCGCCAAUAUACCUUAGAGCGCAAGUCCAAGAGCAUGCCCAGUGACAUCCAGAGAGACAUUUAUAUUUUGGGUGAAAAAUCUAAAGACAACGGUGUUGAAAGUGUUCAAUUCCUAUCUGAUCGUGAAGAUGAUGGUGCUGAAAUGGAUGCCCCCCC